Molecule: ribosomal RNA, 1352 nt
Filed under: Staphylococcus sp.
Lineage: Bacteria; Bacillati; Bacillota; Bacilli; Caryophanales; Staphylococcaceae
Also listed under: 2 other names
Description: bacterial SSU rRNA
Rfam family: Bacterial small subunit ribosomal RNA
Source: RNAcentral
GAGUUUGAUCCUGGCUCAGGAUGAACGCUGGCGGCGUGCCUAAUACAUGCAAGUCGAGCGAGCGGCGGACGGGUGAGUAACACGUAGGUAACCUACCUAUAAGACUGGGAUAACUUCGGGAAACCGGAGCUAAUACCGGAUAAUGAAAGUCACUUAUAGAUGGACCUGCGCCGUAUUAGCUAGUUGGUAAGGUAACGGCUUACCAAGGCAACGAUACGUAGCCGACCUGAGAGGGUGAUCGGCCACACUGGAACUGAGACACGGUCCAGACUCCUACGGGAGGCAGCAGUAGGGAAUCUUCCGCAAUGGGCGAAAGCCUGACGGAGCAACGCCGCGUGAGUGAUGAAGGUCUUCGGAUCGUAAAACUCUGUUAUUAGGGAAGAUGACGGUACCUAAUCAGAAAGCCACGGCUAACUACGUGCCAGCAGCCGCGGUAAUACGUAGGUGGCAAGCGUUAUCCGGAAUUAUUGGGCGUAAAGCGCGCGUAGGCGGUUUUUUAAGUCUGAUGUGAAAGCCCACGGCUCAACCGUGGAGGGUCAUUGGAAACUGGAAAACUUGAGUGCAGAAGAGGAAAGUGGAAUUCCAUGUGUAGCGGUGAAAUGCGCAGAGAUAUGGAGGAACACCAGUGGCGAAGGCGACUUUCUGGUCUGACUGACGCUGAUGUGCGAAAGCGUGGGGAUCAAACAGGAUUAGAUACCCUGGUAGUCCACGCCGUAAACGAUGAGUGCUAAGUGUUAGGGCCUUAGUGCUGCAGCUAACGCAUUAAGCACUCCGCCUGGGGAGUACGACCGCAAGGUUGAAACUCAAAGGAAUUGACGGGGACCCGCACAAGCGGUGGAGCAUGUGGUUUAAUUCGAAGCAACGCGAAGAACCUUACCAAAUCUUGACAUCGACAGGUGGUGCAUGGUUGUCGUCAGCUCGUGUCGUGAGAUGUUGGGUUAAGUCCCGCAACGAGCGCAACCCUUAAGCUUAGUUGCCAUCAUGGGCACUCUAAGUUGACUGCCGGUGACAAACCGGAGGAAGGUGGGGAUGACGUCAAAUCAUCAUGCCCCUUAUGAUUUGGGCUACACACGUGCUACAAUGGACAACAAAGGGCAGCGAAACCGCGAGGUCAAGCAAAUCCCAUUUGUUCUCAGUUCGGAUGUAGUCUGCAACUCGACUACAGAAGCUGGAAUCGCUAGUAAUCGUAGAUCAGCAUGCUACGGUGAAUACGUUCCCGGGUCUUGUACACACCGCCCGUCACACCACGAGAGUUUGUAACACCCGAAGCCGGUGAGUAGCUAGCCGUCGAAGGUGGGACAAAUGAUUGGGGUGAAGUCGUAACAAGGUAGCCGUAUCGGAAGGUGCGGCUG